GGGGGAUGCAAGCGUUAUCCGGAUUUACUGGGUGUAAAGGGAGCGUAGACGGCGGUGCAAGCCAGAUGUGAAAGCCCGGGGCUCAACCCCGGGACUGCAUUUGGAACUGUGCUGCUAGAGUGUCGGAGAGGCAGGCGGAAUUCCUAGUGUAGCGGUGAAAUGCGUAGAUAUUAGGAGGAACACCAGUGGCGAAGGCGGCCUGCUGGACGAUGACUGACGUUGAGGCUCGAAAGCGUGGGGAGC
RNAcentral lists this ribosomal RNA (243 nucleotides) under uncultured bacterium. RNAcentral's name for it is "partial 16S ribosomal RNA". It matches the Rfam family "Bacterial small subunit ribosomal RNA", at positions 527 to 769 of the family's 1533-position model. The record is from RNAcentral.